This 3088-nucleotide small RNA is filed under the name Pongo abelii (Sumatran orangutan). Its description in RNAcentral is "processed transcript". Lineage: Eukaryota; Metazoa; Chordata; Mammalia; Primates; Hominidae. The record is from RNAcentral.
AGGUGCCGGCCCUGCCACAGCCCCUAGCAGCUCUCAGUGGCCCCAUCCCAAAAGUGGGUUAGGGGUGUGGGGUCCUGCCUGGCCUCCCCUCCCUGGCAUAACUCCUCUGGCCAGCACUCAGACUGAGGACCCAGGUCCCUUGGAGAGCAGCUCUCCUUGCCUCCCAAGGGCUCAGAUGCUGCUGGCAGAGGUGUCUCGGGAGCGGGGUGAGCUGCAGGGUGAACGCGGGGAGCUACGGGGCCGGCUGGCGCGGCUGGAGCUGGAGCGGGCACAGCUGGAGAUGCAGAGCCAGCAGCUGCGCGAGUCCAACCAGCAGCUGGACCUGAGCGCCUGCCGGCUGACCACGCAGUGUGAGCUAUUGACACAGCUGCGAAGUGCCCAGGAAGAGGAGAACCGGCAGCUGCUGGCUGAAGUUCAGGCCCUGAGCCGGGAGAACAGGGAGCUCCUGGAGCGCAGCCUGGAGAGCCGGGACCACCUGCACCGCGAACAGCGGGAGUACCUGGACCAGCUUAAUGCCCUGCGCCGCGAGAAGCAGAAGCUCGUGGAGAAGAUCAUGGACCAAUAUCGCGUGCUGGAGCCUGGGCCCCUGCCCCGGACCAAGAAGGGCAGCUGGCUGGCAGACAAGGUGAAGAGGCUGAUGCGGCCCCGGCGGGAGGGGGGCCCCCCUGGGGGGCUGCGCCUGGGGGCCGAUGGGGCUGGCAGCACCGAGAGCCUGGGGGGCCCCCCGGAGACGGAGCUUCCUGAGGGCAGGGAGGCAGAUGGGACAGGGUCCCCUUCCCCAGCACCCAUGCGCCGGGCCCAGAGCUCCCUCUGCCUGCGGGAUGAGACCUUGGCAGGCGGGCAGCGGCGGAAACUCAGCUCAAGGUUCCCGGUGGGGCGAAGCUCUGAGUCAUUCAGCCCUGGGGACACCCCUAGGCAACGAUUCCGACAGCGCCGUCCAGGCCCCCUGGGGGCACCCAUCUCCCACAGCAAAGGUGAGGGACAAGGGUCACUGUACCAGCCAGCCCCCCAACUCUUUGUGGACCCACCAGCUCCUUGGGGGAGGAGGCUUCCUUCUUGUCCCCUGUGUCUCCUGCAAGCUCUGUCUACUUCCGCACUGGCCCUGGGCCCAGUGGUUGCCUUGUGCCUCCCAGGACCUGGUGUGGGAUGGGAGAACUCCGCUGAGACCCUCCAGGAGCACGAAACAGAUGCCAGCCGAGAGGGUGAGUGGGGGCCUGCGGAAGGAGUAGUAUUCUUUGUACCACCUGGGGCUCCUGGCAGAACCUCAUUCAUCCAUUCUCUCAUUUGACAAUGAUCCUUUAACAAGUGCCAGGUGACGUGCUGGCAGGGGACACAGCAGGGAACGUUCUGGUGUGAGGAGGCAGAUAGUAAACAAUUUGCCUAAAAAUAAUUAUUAUCUACAACAGCCCUGUCCACCAGAAAUAUGGUGUGAACCACAUGAUAAUUUUAACUUUUCCAGUAGGCUCACCAGAAAAAGUGAAAAGAGACAGGUAAAAUGGGUUUUAAUAACAUUUAACUCAAUAUGCCUACGCUAUUACCAUUUCAGCAUGUAGCCAGUGUAAAAAUCAUGAAUGAGCUAUUAGACGUGAUUUUUUUUUUUUUUUUUGAGAUGGAGUUUCGCUCUUUGGCUCACUGCGACUUCUGCCUCCCAGGUUCAAACAAUUCUCCUGGCUCAGCCUCCCAAGUAGCUGGGAUUACAGGCAUGGGCCACCAAGCCAGGCUAAUUUUGUAUUAUUAUUAUUUUUUUUUUAAGUAGAGACAGGAUUUCACCAUGUUGGUCAGGCUGGUCUCGAACUCCUGACCUCAGAUGAUCCACCUGCUUUGGCCUCCCAAAGUGCUGGGAUUAUAGGCGUGAGCCACUGCACCCAGCCAGACGUGAUUUUUUUCAUAGUAAGUCUUCGGCAGUUUGGGAGGCCAAGGCAGGCAGAUCACUUGAGGCCAGAAGUUAGAGAUCAGCCUAGCCAACAUGGUGAAAUCCCGUCUCUACUAAAAAUACAAAAAUUAGCCAGGCAUGGUGCCCCAUGCCUGUAAUACCACUUACUCAGGGGGCUGAGGCAGGAGAAUCGCUUGAACCUGGGAGGCAGAGGGUGCAGUGAGCCAAGAUCACGCCAUUGCACUCCAGCCUCGGUGACAGAGUGAGACUGUCUCAAAAACAAAAAACAAAAAAACACAGUAGGUCUUUGAAGCAUGUCACAGGCCAGCCCCAUCUCACCUACUUAGCUCCGCCCUGGGCAGCUCAGCCCUAGACCCGGCUGGACCAUCAGGAGGCGCUAAUGCUCUGGGAAGAAAGGAGAGCAGGGGAGGGGUCAGGAGCUCAGGAGCUCUGGGCAGGCUGGUUGGAGUUUUAGUAACUGGGGUGCUGGGGUGGGCCUCAGAGAGGAGGUGAAAUUGGAGCAAAGACUUGGAGGGGAGAGUUUGUCCGUGUGGACAUACCUGAGAACAGCAUUCCGGGCUGAGGGAACAGCAGGCGUGGUGCAGCUGGAAGCGGGGGGUAUUGGCAGGUUGGGGGUGGGCAGAAGGUGCUCGAGCCUGUGGGCCUCCUGGGACUCUGGGAGUCCUCCUGAGGGAGGCGGGUCUGAGCUGAGCCUUUUCCUCUAGGCCCCGAGGUACAGGAACCGGAGAAACGUCCCCUCACCCCGUCCCUCAGCCAGUGACGCCGUGGGGACAGCAGGCUUGGGAGUGCAGCCUUCUCGGCACUGGAGUGUCAGCGGAGGCCCCAGGCAGCCCAAGAGCUCAGGGAGCCAGGGCCCCCAAGGGGAGUCUUUGGACAAGGAGGCCUGGGCCCUGAGAUCCUCCACGGUCAGCGCCGGGGCCCGGAGAUGGAGCCGGGACGAGUGUGUGGACAGGGGGGACGGCUGGCCCCCACGAGCAGCUCCAGGCCGGGGUUCUGCUUCUUCCAGGUGGCUCCCGCUGAGGCAGCGGUCUCUGGGGGAUCCCCCAGCUGAAGGAGGCCGGCAGGAGUUGGCAAGAGAACCCCCUGCCCUGUCCAGGUGGAGAGCUGAGUCCCAGUACUGGGGGACUGUGGCCUGGGCUGAUCUUGAGCCUUAACUGGACAUGAGGGACAUGAGAAUAAAGCUGAACUGCAGCC